RNAcentral lists this ribosomal RNA (355 nucleotides) under uncultured bacterium. Its description in RNAcentral is "bacterial SSU rRNA". It matches the Rfam family "Bacterial small subunit ribosomal RNA", at positions 1 to 334 of the family's 1533-position model. The record is from RNAcentral.
CUAUGCGCCUUGCCAGCCCGCUCAGUCAGAGUUUGAUCCUGGCUCAGGAUGAACGCUAGCGGCAGGCCUCAUACAUGCAAGUCGAGGGGCAGCGGGACACUUCGGUGUUGCCGGCGACCGGCGGACGGGUGCGUAAUGCGCAUGCAAUCUACUUUACACUGGGGAAUAGCCUCCGGAAACGGGAAUUAAUACCCCAUAUAAUCUUACUGGCGCAUGCUAGAAAGAUGAAAGCUCAGGCGGUGUAAAAUGAGCGUGCGUCCUAUUAGCUAGUUGGAGAGUAAUGGCUCACCAAGGCUACGAUGGGUAGGGGUUCUUAGUGGAAGGUCCCCCACACUGGCACUGAGAUACGGGCCAG